AGGCCUAACACAUGCAAGUCGAGCGGUAACGAGUUAUCUGAACCUUCGGGGCAACGUAUAACGGCGGUCGAGCGGCGGUACGGGUGAGUAAUGCCUAAGGAAAUUGCCCUGGAUGUGGGGGAUAACCAUUGGAAACGAUGGCUAAUACCGCAUGAUGCCUACGGGCCAAAGAGGGGGACCUUCGGGCCUCUCGCGUCAGGAUAUGCCUAGGUGGGAUUAGCUAGUUGGUGAGGUAAGGGCUCACCAAGGCGACGAUCCCUAGCUGGUCUGAGAGGAUGAUCAGCCACACUGGAACUGAGACACGGUCCAGACUCCUACGGGAGGCAGCAGUGGGGAAUAUUGCACAAUGGGCGCAAGCCUGAUGCAGCCAUGCCGCGUGUGUGAAGAAGGCCUUCGGGUUGUAAAGCACUUUCAGUCGUGAGGAAGGUAGUGUAGUUAAUAGCUGCAUUAUUUGACGUUAGCGACAGAAGA
Molecule: ribosomal RNA, 471 nt
Filed under: marine sediment bacterium ISA-7318
Lineage: Bacteria
Description: bacterial SSU rRNA
Rfam family: Bacterial small subunit ribosomal RNA
Source: RNAcentral